Molecule: ribosomal RNA, 1372 nt
Filed under: uncultured bacterium
Lineage: Bacteria
Description: bacterial SSU rRNA
Rfam family: Bacterial small subunit ribosomal RNA
Source: RNAcentral
GAUGAACGCUGGCGGCGUGCCUAAUACAUGCAAGUCGAGCGAACGGACGAGAAGCUUGCUUUUCUGAUGUUAGCGGCGGACGGGUGAGUAACACGUGGAUAACCUACCUAUAAGACUGGGAUAACUUCGGGAAACCGGAGCUAAUACCGGAUAAUAUUUUGAACCGCAUGGUUCAAAAGUGAAAGACGGUCUUGCUGUCACUUAUAGAUGGAUCCGCGCUGCAUUAGCUAGUUGGUAAGGUAACGGCUUACCAAGGCAACGAUGCAUAGCCGACCUGAGAGGGUGAUCGGCCACACUGGAACUGAGACACGGUCCAGACUCCUACGGGAGGCAGCAGUAGGGAAUCUUCCGCAAUGGGCGAAAGCCUGACGGAGCAACGCCGCGUGAGUGAUGAAGGUCUUCGGAUCGUAAAACUCUGUUAUUAGGGAAGAACAUAUGUGUAAGUAACUGUGCACAUCUUGACGGUACCUAAUCAGAAAGCCACGGCUAACUACGUGCCAGCAGCCGCGGUAAUACGUAGGUGGCAAGCGUUAUCCGGAAUUAUUGGGCGUAAAGCGCGCGUAGGCGGUUUUUUAAGUCUGAUGUGAAAGCCCACGGCUCAACCGUGGAGGGUCAUUGGAAACUGGAAAACUUGAGUGCAGAAGAGGAAAGUGGAAUUCCAUGUGUAGCGGUGAAAUGCGCAGAGAUAUGGAGGAACACCAGUGGCGAAGGCGACUUUCUGGUCUGUAACUGACGCUGAUGUGCGAAAGCGUGGGGAUCAAACAGGAUUAGAUACCCUGGUAGUCCACGCCGUAAACGAUGAGUGCUAAGUGUUAGGGGGUUUCCGCCUCUUAGUGCUGCAGCUAACGCAUUAAGCACUCCGCCUGGGGAGUACGACCGCAAGGUCGAAACUCAAAGGAAUUGACGGGGACCCGCACAAGCGGUGGAGCAUGUGGUUUAAUUCGAAGCAACGCGAAGAACCUUACCAAAUCUUGACAUCCUUUGACAACUCUAGAGAUAGAGCCUUCCCCUUCGGGGGACAAAGUGACAGGUGGUGCAUGGUUGUCGUCAGCUCGUGUCGUGAGAUGUCGGGUUAGGUCCCGCAACGAGCGCAACCCUUAAGCUUAGUUGCCAUCAUUAAGUUGGGCACUCUAAGUUGACUGCCGGUGACAAACCGGAGGAAGGUGGGGAUGACGUCAAAUCAUCAUGCCCCUUAUGAUUUGGGCUACACACGUGCUACAAUGGACAAUACAAAGGGCAGCGAAACCGCGAGGUCAAGCAAAUCCCAUAAAGUUGUUCUCAGUUCGGAUUGUAGUCUGCAACUCGACUACAUGAAGCUGGAAUCGCUAGUAAUCGUAGAUCAGCAUGCUACGGUGAAUACGUUCCCGGGUCU